RNAcentral lists this small nucleolar RNA (126 nucleotides) under Meriones unguiculatus (Mongolian gerbil). Its description in RNAcentral is "Small nucleolar RNA SNORA17 (ENSMUGG00000010161.1)". It matches the Rfam family "Small nucleolar RNA SNORA17". Rfam says of the family: snoRNA ACA 17 belongs to the H/ACA family of snoRNAs and is predicted to guide pseudouridylation of the 28S rRNA at positions U4659 and U4598. It shares the same host gene together with ACA43. Lineage: Eukaryota; Metazoa; Chordata; Mammalia; Rodentia; Muridae. The record is from RNAcentral.
ACUGCCCUUAGAGGCAUCACACCUAAGGCUGCUGUGUCAUAUCAGUUGGUGGCAGAGAAGAGAGAUACUACAUCUAUGCUUAGGGUUCUGGCCCAUGAAUAUCUUAAUGAUUAGUAGCCUAACAUU